UUAGAGUAAUGUCUAAGUAUCAUUAAGUGAAUACAUAGCUUAAUGAGGGGAACUCAGGGAACUGAAACAUCUAAGUACCUGAAGGAAGAGAAAGAAAUUCGAUUCCGUAAGUAGCGGCGAGCGAACGCGGAUUAGCCCAAACCAAUAAAGUUUUCUUUAUUGGGGUUGCGGACAUAUCAUAACGAAGAGGUAUCGUAAUUGAAGAGGUUUGGAAAGACCCACCACAGAAGGUAAUAGUCCUGUAUGUUAAACGAGAAGACUUUAGAUAUGAUCCAGAGUACCACGGGACACGUGAAACCCUGUGGGAAGCAGGAGGGACCACCCUCCAAGGCUAAAUACUACCUAGUGACCGAUAGCGUAUAGUACCGUGAGGGAAAGGUGAAAAGAACCCCGGGAGGGGAGUGAAAUAGAACCUGAAACCCUGCACUUACAAGCUGUGGAAGCACAUUUCUUGUGUGACCGCGUACUUUUUGUAGAACGGGCCAACGAGUUACGUUAAGUAGCAAGGUUAAGCACUUAAGGUGCGGAGCCGUAGCGAAAGCGAGUUUUAACUGAGCGUUCAGUUACUUGACGUAGACCCGAAACCGGGCGACCUACCCAUGAGCAGGAUGAAGCGAAAGUAAAAUUUCGUGGAGGUCCGAACCCACGAGCGUUGAAAAGCUCGGGGAUGACUUGUGGGUAGCGGUGAAAUUCCAAUCGAGCCCGGAGAUAGCUGGUUCUCCCCGAAAUAGCUUUAGGGCUAGCCUCAAGGUGAGAGAUACGGAGGUAGAGCACUGAAUGUCCUAGGGGGUAUUGCACCUACCGAAGACUAUCAAACUCCGAAUGCCGUCAUCUUAUACUUGGGAGUCAGACUGUGGGUGAUAAGAUUCAUAGUCGAAAGGGCAACAGCCCAGAUCGUCAGCUAAGGUCCCUAAAUGUAAGUUAAGUGGUAAAGGAUGUGGGAUUGCACAGACAACCAGGAUGUUGGCUUAGAAGCAGCCACUCAUUCAAAGAGUGCGUAAUAGCUCACUGGUCGAGUGAUCCUGCGCCGAAGAUUUCCGGGGCUAAAACUUACUACCGAAGCUACGGCAUCAGUAAUGAUGGGUAGGGGAGCUUCCCAUACGGGUUGAAGCAUGACCGUAAGGACAUGUGGACAGUAUGGGAGUGAGAAUGUUGGCAUGAGUAGCGAGAUGUGGGUGAGAAUCCCACAGGCCGUAAACCCAAGGUUUCCAGGGGAAGGUUCGUCCGCCCUGGGUUAGUCGGGACCUAAGCUGAGGCCGAAAGGCGUAGGUGAUGGACAACAGGUUGAUAUUCCUGUACUACCGAUAACCGUUUGAGAGAAGGGAUGACACAGUAGGAUAAGCUAAGCACACUGUUGGUUAUGUGUGCCCAAGCAUUGAGGCAGUCAAAGUAGGCAAAUCCGCUUUGAUAAUGCUGGGAUGUGAUGGGGAGCGAAAUUUAGUAGCGAAGUAGCUGAUUUCACACUGUCAAGAAAAGUCUCUAUCGAGGUUAAAGGUACCCGUACCGCAAACCGACACAGGUGGGUGAGGAGAGUAUCCUAAGGCCAGCGAGAGAACUGUUGUUAAGGAACUCGGCAAAAUGACCCCGUAACUUAGGGAUAAGGGGUGCCACCAUCAGGUGGCCGCAGAGAAUAGGCCCAAGCGACUGUUUACCAAAAACAUAGGUUUCUGCUAAGUCGCAAGACGAUGUAUAGGAGCUGACGCCUGCCCGGUGCUGGAAGGUUAAGGGGAUCUGUUAGAGCAAUCGAAGCAGUGAACUUAAGCCCCAGUAAACGGCGGCCGUAACUAUAACGGUCCUAAGGUAGCGAAAUUCCUUGUCGGGUAAGUUCCGACCCGCACGAAAGGCGUAACGAUUUGGGCACUGUCUCAACAACAGACUCGGUGAAAUUGUAAUUCCGGUGAAGAUGCCGGAUACCUGCGACAGGACGGAAAGACCCCAUGGAGCUUUACUGUAGCUUGACAUUGGGUCUUGGUACUACAUGUACAGGAUAGGUGGGAGGCUUUGAAACCAGGACGCCAGUUUUGGCGGAGCCAUCCUUGGGAUACCACCCUUGUAGUACUGGGACUCUAACCAUAGGCCAUGAAUCUGGUCUUGGGACACUGUCA
Molecule: ribosomal RNA, 2105 nt
Filed under: Clostridioides difficile
Lineage: Bacteria; Bacillati; Bacillota; Clostridia; Peptostreptococcales; Peptostreptococcaceae
Description: bacterial LSU rRNA
Rfam family: Bacterial large subunit ribosomal RNA
Source: RNAcentral